Molecule: long non-coding RNA, 481 nt
Filed under: Setaria viridis
Lineage: Eukaryota; Viridiplantae; Streptophyta; Magnoliopsida; Poales; Poaceae
Description: long non-coding RNA (SVIR_LNC002672)
Source: RNAcentral
AGUGCACGGGACACCAGCAGGCUCGAUCGUGCAUGGCAAUGCACGACGCAGCAAGAGAUCUCGUCCAUAGAUCACAACCCUCUGAUCUGAAUGUGUCCGAUCCGAUGGUUCUAUUAUCCUCCUCAGAAGAGGCUGCCGACGACCGCGGCGGCGAGCGCGGCGGCGACCCACCUGGCCACCCCGGCGCCGGGCGCGGCCGCCGACUUCUUGUCCUCGUCCGAGGCGGUGGAGUCGUCGGCGACGGGCGGCUCGGCGAUGCCGGUGGACUUCUUGUGCUUCUUCUUGGUCUUGGACUUGGUCGGCGCCGGUGCGGGCGCGGGCGCCGGGGUGGGCGGCUUGGGGCCGAAGAGCUCGUAGGGGAGCGGCACCUUGUCGACGGGGUAGACGGCGAGCGGGAAGUCCUUGCUGACGGGGCUCCCCAGGAGCAUGGAGUUGACGCCGGUGGAGAUGUUGACGUUGUUGCCCGCGCGCUUGAUGUCGU